GGCGGACCCGGCGGCGCGCUGGACACGAGUGCAACCAUGAAUGCGGAGACCCUUCGGCCCAUAAUGUCUCCCCUCAGCCUCCGACUCUCCAGAGAAAAUAAUCCAAGUUCUAUGUGAACUCUAGGAGCUAGUACAGCACUAAUAACUACCGUCUUGUGUGGUGGAAACGUCUGAAGAGCAAACGCUCACAUGGAAGUGGUGAUAGACUCGAGGCACUCAUCAUGUGAAGAAUUUGCAGAAUAAAUAAUUGAGCUGCUGGUCCACAGAGAUUCCUUCUACCUAUUUUAAUUUAGUUACAAUUUACAGGGAUUGAAGAUGAGUACCUUAAGUGAAGGUUUUAAAAAUAAAAAUAAAAAAUACCUUAUUUUGCUAAAUAAAACCUGAGAAAGCACCCUACAACUAAACCAAAAACAAAAACCAAAAUGCCCAAGAACUGUGAGACAGCAAUAGAACUUGGCUCACAUAGUUUUACUAAACUACAGAUGUAGUUCAACCACUUUACACCCCAGGUGUGGAAUAGAAAUCCUACUUUCCACAGGAACUAAUGUAAUGCUUAAGACAAUCAAUGUUAUGACACGGACUAAGUGAAUUCUUCAAACAUAAAAUUAUGUGAUCCAAUUACUCUCCUAAUUUACAAUAAAGACUAGAAAUCAGUAUACGCAUACCUGGAAAGGAAAA
Long non-coding RNA from Amblyraja radiata (thorny skate), 678 nucleotides. RefSeq lists it as uncharacterized. The record is from RefSeq and is a predicted model, not a curated record. NCBI's taxonomy places the organism in Eukaryota, Metazoa, Chordata, Chondrichthyes, Rajiformes, Rajidae. The transcript is spliced from 3 exons.